AAAUAAACUGUGAGAAAACAGAA
This 23-nucleotide small nuclear RNA is filed under the name Arabidopsis thaliana (thale cress). RNAcentral's name for it is "snRNA_15339". Lineage: Eukaryota; Viridiplantae; Streptophyta; Magnoliopsida; Brassicales; Brassicaceae. The record is from RNAcentral.